AUCUAUAGAAAAAGGUAAGUAGGUUUAGUAACCAGCAAUAAUCACAUUUUUGGACUCUUCUUAUGAAGUGUGAGCGUGCUAAGGAGACUUAACUACUCAAUCAUGGGUACUUCAAUCUGAGAAUUUUUUGCAUCCUUGUCGUUUCCUUUCUAUAUAUCCUCUGAAAUAACAAUCAAGAUGUACACCAUGAAAAUCAUGCUAAUCCAACUAUCUGGUGUGUAGGUCAUCAUUGUACGACUUCCAUUCUGCUCCAUACAAUAUUCAUUCUCCAUGAUUGAGUGGUAGUUUGUUACUGUUUCGAAGAGUCAAGGUAACUCAUGUGCUCGAAUCAUUCUCGCUCUCACAUAUAUGUUCAUGUUAUACUUUAUUGAUUUUUUAGGUCUAUUUUACAGGUUUGGAAUACAAUUUCAGUUGCCUUCAUUCAUGGUCAAGGCUUCGGGUGAGUUAUUGCACACCUCCUUUAUAAUAUUGUAGUGAUUUAGUUAAUUUCAAUUGCAAUGCAUUCAGCAACAUUUAUAAUGGUUAUUCUAUGAAGUAUUGAAAAAUUAGACGCGAUCUUUUCUUCAAGAUGGUGCGGGUUAGUAUUGGUGUUGCGUUUCCAUCACAUGGGAAAA
RNAcentral lists this long non-coding RNA (614 nucleotides) under Hordeum vulgare. Its description in RNAcentral is "long non-coding RNA (HVUL_LNC005623)". Lineage: Eukaryota; Viridiplantae; Streptophyta; Magnoliopsida; Poales; Poaceae. The record is from RNAcentral.